GAGCGCCCCGCAAGGGGAGCGGCAGACGGGAGAGUAACACGUGGGAACGUACCCUUCAGUUCGGAACAACCCAGGGAAACUUGGGCUAAUACCGAAUACGUCCGUAAGGAGAAAGAUUUAUCGCUGAAGGAUCGGCCCGCGUCUGAUUAGCUUGUUGGUGGGGUAACGGCCCACCAAGGCUACGAUCAGUAGCUGGUCUGAGAGGAUGAUCAGCCUCACUGGGACUGAGACACGGCCCAGACUCCUACGGGAGGCAGCAGUGGGGAAUAUUGGACAAUGGGCGCAAGCCUGAUCCAGCCAUGCCGCGUGGGUGAUGAAGGCCCUAGGGUUGUAAAGCCCUUUCGGCGGGGAAGAUAAUGACGGUACCCGCAGAAGAAGCCCCGGCUAACUUCGUG
Molecule: ribosomal RNA, 395 nt
Filed under: uncultured bacterium
Lineage: Bacteria
Description: bacterial SSU rRNA
Rfam family: Bacterial small subunit ribosomal RNA
Source: RNAcentral